Molecule: long non-coding RNA, 392 nt
Filed under: Phoenix dactylifera (date palm)
Lineage: Eukaryota; Viridiplantae; Streptophyta; Magnoliopsida; Arecales; Arecaceae
Description: long non-coding RNA (PDAC_LNC011342)
Source: RNAcentral
CAUUUAUUUAUUCGACUGUCUAAUCAUUAUCACUCUAUUUACUUAAACCCUGUUUAGGACUAGAUCAAAGGGGAUAAUCAAAAGAAAAGCAUCACACUCAUCUUUUAUGCAUAAUCACACAACUCAUACAACUUUGUAAGGAAAGAUGUACUUCAAUAAUUCCAAAGAAAAACAAAUAUGCUUACUCUUGCUUUAUAAGAUAUUGCCUAGCCUAAAUCAAAAUUCAAUGCUUAAACACAAUAAAGAACCCAAAAGUGUAAUGUUGAUCCUAGAUAAGUCUCACACAAGUGCAAAUGCAUGUUCAUUUCUCCUAAUCUUUCACAUAAAAAUUUGGUUUGGAAGACAUGGAUAUGAUCACCAAUUAACUUGCAUGAAAGUGAACAAACCAGAAU